GCGUAGGGUAUGUAGGUGGUGAAAGUCGGUGUGAAUAAAAUCCUGGGUUGCAACCCUUGUCCGUUCGCUUCCAUAUUUCACUAGAAUCUGAGAAGGGUCUUGGUAUAUUCAUGGAGGAGUUAAAAAUGAGAUAUGAAUAUGACCGACAGCGGUGAAAGCAAAUUCCUGGUCCAGUAUUGAGCUGAGGUACGAAGGCAGGGGAGCAAAAUGGAUUAGACACCCAUGUAGUCCGUGCUGUAACGCUGAGUUUUCACUGUUAGAGAAUUGAAUAACGAUCCCCAUUAACUUCGCUAUCAUAAAAAAAUAUGCGGGGUUUCUGAAUUUAUUACAUAAAUAAAAGGAUCCGAGCUUGCCGGGGGAAUGGGGGAAAGACCUUCUUCCAAACACAACGUUAAAAAGUGGGCAUCCGCAGGGAUUUCUGAAUGAUUAGAAAUUCUGGUAUCUCAGUUUUUUCUGGUGGUUGAGUAACGCGUUAAAUUCUCCGCUGGGGAGUACGGCCGCAGGUUGAAACUCAAAAGAAUUGAGGUGCCUCGUACGAGG
The sequence is a ribosomal RNA, 540 nucleotides long. It matches the Rfam family "Bacterial small subunit ribosomal RNA", at positions 558 to 930 of the family's 1533-position model.